Molecule: ribosomal RNA, 441 nt
Filed under: uncultured bacterium
Lineage: Bacteria
Description: partial 16S ribosomal RNA
Rfam family: Bacterial small subunit ribosomal RNA
Source: RNAcentral
CCUACGGGAGGCAGCAGUGGGGAAUAUUGCACAAUGGGGGAAACCCUGAUGCAGCAACGCCGCGUGGGUGAAGGAGCGUUUCGGCGCGUAAAGCCCUGUCAGCGGGGAAGAAGAAAGACGGUACCCGACCAAGAAGCCCCGGCUAACUACGUGCCAGCAGCCGCGGUCAUACGUAGGGGGCGAGCGUUAUCCGGAAUUACUGGGUGUAAAGGGAGCGUAGACGGCGAGGUAAGCCUGAAGUGGAAGCCCGGGGCCCAACCGCGGAACUGCUUUGGGAACUGUUUUGCUGGAGUAUGGGAGGGGUAAGCGGAAUUCGUGGUGUAGCGGUGAAAUGCGUAGAUAUCAGGAGGAACACCGGUGGCGAAGGCGGCUUACCGGACCAUAACUGACGUUGAGGCUCGAAAGCGUGGGGAGCGAACAGGAUUAGAUACCCUGGUAGUC